GAUGAACGCUGGCGGCGUGCCUAAUACAUGCAAGUCGAGCGAACGGACGAGAAGCUUGCUUCUCUGAUGUUAGCGGCGGACGGGUGAGUAACACGUGGAUAACCUACCUAUAAGACUGGGAUAACUUCGGGAAACCGUAGCUAAUACCGGAUAAUAUUUUGAACCGCAUGGUUCAAAAGUGAAAGACGGUCUUGCUGUCACUUAUAGAUGGAUCCGCGCUGCAUUAGCUAGUUGGUAAGGUAACGGCUUACCAAGGCAACGAUGCAUAGCCGACCUGAGAGGGUGAUCGGCCACACUGGAACUGAGACACGGUCCAGACUCCUACGGGAGGCAGCAGUAGGGAAUCUUCCGCAAUGGGCGAAAGCCUGACGGAGCAAUGCCGCGUGAGUGAUGAAGGUCUUCGGAUCGUAAACCUCUGUUAUUAGGGAAGAACAUAUGUGUAAGUAACUGUGCACAUCUUGACGGUACCUAAUCAGAAAGCCACGGCUAACUACGUG
RNAcentral lists this ribosomal RNA (497 nucleotides) under uncultured bacterium. RNAcentral describes it as "partial 16S ribosomal RNA". It matches the Rfam family "Bacterial small subunit ribosomal RNA", at positions 28 to 507 of the family's 1533-position model. The record is from RNAcentral.